UACGUAGGGGGCAAGCGUUGUCCGGAAUCAUUGGGCGUAAAGAGCGUGUAGGCGGCCAGAUAAGUCCGUUGUGAAAACUCGAGGCUCAACCUCGAGACGUCGGCGGAAACCCUCUGGCUAGAGUCCGGAAGAGGAGAGUGGAAUUCCUGGUGUAGCGGUGAAAUGCGCAGAUAUCAGGAAGAACACCCGUGGCGAAGGCGGCUCUCUGGGACGGUACUGACGCUGAGACGCGAAAGCGUGGGGAGCAAACAGG
Molecule: ribosomal RNA, 253 nt
Filed under: uncultured bacterium
Lineage: Bacteria
Description: partial 16S ribosomal RNA
Rfam family: Bacterial small subunit ribosomal RNA
Source: RNAcentral